This is a long non-coding RNA of Oncorhynchus tshawytscha (Chinook salmon), 847 nucleotides long. The record is from Ensembl. Lineage: Eukaryota; Metazoa; Chordata; Actinopteri; Salmoniformes; Salmonidae.
GAGGCGGCAGGGUAGCCUAGUGGUUAGAGUGUAGAGGUGACAGGGUAGCCUAGUGGUUAGAGUGUAGAGGCGGCAGGGUAGCCUAGUGGUUAGAGUGUAGAGGCGGCAGGUAGCCUAGUGGUUAGUGUAGAGGCGGCAGGGUAGCCUAGUGGUUAGAGUGUAGAGGCGGCAGGGUAGCCUAGUGGUUAGAGUGUAGAGGCGGCAGGUAGCCUAGUGGUUAGAAGUGUAGAGGCGGCAGGGUAGCCUAGUGGUUAGAGUGUAGGGGCGGCAGUGUAGCCUAGUGGUUAGAGUGUAGAGGUGACAGGGUAGCCUAGUGGUUAGAGUGUGGAGGCGGCAGGUAGCCUAGUGGUUAGAGUGUAGAGGCGGCAGGGUAGCCUAGUGGUUAGAGUGUAGAGGCGGCAGGUAGCCUAGUGGUUAGUGUAGAGGCGGCAGGGUAGCCUAGUGGUUAGAGUGUAGAGGUGACAUGGUAGCCUAGUGGUUAGAGUGUAGAGGCGGCAGGGUAGCCUAGUGGUUAGAGUGUAGAGGAGACAGGGUAGCCAAGUGGUUAGAGUGUAGAGGCGGCAGGUAGCCUAGUGGUUAGAGUGUAGAGGCGGCAGGGUAGCCUCGUGGUUAGAGUGUAGGGAAGGCAGGGUAGCCUAGUGGUUAGAGUGUAGGGAAGGCAGGGUAGCCUAGUGGUUAGAGUGUAGAGGCGGCAGGGUAGCCUAGUGGUUAGAGUGUAGAGGCGGCAGGGUAGCCUAGUGGUUAGAGUGUUGGACUAGUAACCGGAAGGUUGCAAGUUCAAACCCCCGAGCUGACAAGGUACAAAUCUGUCGUUCUGCCCCUGAACAGGCAGUUAACCCACUGUUCC